UACGGGGGGGGCAAGCGUUGUUCGGAAUUACUGGGCGUAAAGGGCUCGUAGGCGGCCCGCUAAGUCAGACGUGAAAGCCCUCGGCUCAACCGGGGAACGGCGUCUGAGACUGGCGGGCUGGAAUCCGGGAGAGGGAUGCGGAAUUCCAGGUGUAGCGGUGAAAUGCGUAGAUAUCUGGAGGAACACCGGUGGCGAAGGCGGCAUCCUGGACCGGUAUUGACGCUGAGGAGCGAAAGCCAGGGGAGCAAACGGG
RNAcentral lists this ribosomal RNA (253 nucleotides) under uncultured prokaryote. RNAcentral describes it as "partial 16S ribosomal RNA". It matches the Rfam family "Bacterial small subunit ribosomal RNA", at positions 524 to 776 of the family's 1533-position model. The record is from RNAcentral.